AACCUAGCACACCUGCGGUGUGUACCUGCGGAAGGAUCAUUACAGAGUUCAUGCCCUCACGGGUAGAUCUCCCACCCUUGAAUACUAUACCUUUGUUGCUUUGGCGGGCCGCUUUGGCUACUGGCUCUGGCUAGUAAGUGCCCGCCAAAGAACCCCAAAACUCUGAAUAUUAGUGUCGUCUGAGUACUAUAUAAUAGUUAAAACUUUCAACAAUGGAUCU
This 220-nucleotide unclassified non-coding RNA is filed under the name soil metagenome. Its description in RNAcentral is "partial contains 5.8S ribosomal RNA, internal transcribed spacer 2, and large subunit ribosomal RNA". The record is from RNAcentral.